CUGGAGCCGGCAUGGGUGGGCGCCGGGGGGCUGGGAGGAUCCGCUGGCAUCCUGGCCUGGGGCAGGGGGCCCCGGCUCGGUAGGGGGCCGGCCCGGCAGCGGGGAGCCUGGGGACUGGUGCGGGAGCGGCCGGCCUGAGCGAGAGCAGCGGGGUGAGUGGUUUGCGCUGGGGGAAGUGGGCGCUAGGCCCCGGCUGUGCUCGGCGCUGCACAGAACAAGGAGACCCCCCCCGGCCGGCGGCUCCGGGUCCCGGGGACCCCCCCGAUCCAGGGCUCAGCUCCUCUCUGUAUGACCCGUAGCUAAAUCGCUGUUCUCACACACCCGUCAGAGCUUCCAGCAUUGCCGCAGCAGCCCCACUCCGGAGCGGCUCGUGCCGGGGCUGGACCCAGCGAUCUCCGGGUCAUCGAGCCGAGCGGGCUGCCGGAGACACCUGCCGUCACCGCGGACCUAGAUCAGCCCUGAGAGCACGUCUCCCCUCUGCUGCAGCAGGAUGGCUGACGUCCCUGCAGGGUGCCCUCGGCAUGGAGUUCCCGUGACAACGAGAUGCAGCUUUCCAGGGCCACAGAUUCCUUGCAAGAUGAGGGGGCAGGGAUCACUCACCCUGCUGCUGAAAUGCAGCCACCUCUGGGGUGGGAUGCACCAGAGAGGAUGUUGCCGCAAACCCUGCUGCAUGGAUGCUCAACUCCCAGGAAGCAGACAGGGCUCAAGGAAUGUGAGAGCAGCAUCUGUCACCAGUUCACAGCGGCGAACACUUUUGUCUGGCUCUCGGGACCCUGGCAUGAGCUGAGGGAGACCGGACGGACGGCAGCUGCAAUUCUGCCAUCAGCAGCCAGACAGCCAGGAAAACAGGAAUGAAUGGAUUGGGGGGGGGGAGAAGAGGAGGUGCAAUAAAAGCCCUGACCACUGGGUGGUGCCCUCGUUC
Molecule: long non-coding RNA, 922 nt
Filed under: Gopherus agassizii (Agassiz's desert tortoise)
Lineage: Eukaryota; Metazoa; Chordata; Testudines; Testudinidae
Description: lncRNA (ENSGAGG00000016972.1)
Source: RNAcentral